UAAUGCCGGAUGCUCCAGUUGAUCGCAUGGUCUUCUGGGAAAGCUUUCGCGGUAUGGGAUGGGGUCGCGUCCUAUCAGCUUGACGGCGGGGUAACGGCCCACCGUGGCUUCGACGGGUAGCCGGCCUGAGAGGGCGACCGGCCACAUUGGGACUGAGAUACGGCCCAGACUCCUACGGGAGGCAGCAGUGGGGAAUAUUGCACAAUGGGCGCAAGCCUGAUGCAGCGACGCCGCGUGAGGGAUGGAGGCCUUCGGGUUGUAAACCUCUUUUAUCGGGGAGCAAGCGAGAGUGAGUUUACCCGUUGAAUAAGCACCGGCUAACUACGUGCCAGCAGCCGCGGUAAUACGUAGGGUGCAAGCGUUAUCCGGAAUUAUUGGGCGUAAAGGGCUCGUAGGCGGUUCGUCGCGUCCGGUGUGAAAGUCCAUCGCUUAACGGUGGAUCCGCGCCGGGUACGGGCGGGCUUGAGUGCGGUAGAGGAGACUGGAAUUCCCGGUGUAACGGUGGAAUGUGUAGAUAUCGGAAAA
Molecule: ribosomal RNA, 525 nt
Filed under: Bifidobacterium longum subsp. suillum
Lineage: Bacteria; Bacillati; Actinomycetota; Actinomycetes; Bifidobacteriales; Bifidobacteriaceae
Description: bacterial SSU rRNA
Rfam family: Bacterial small subunit ribosomal RNA
Source: RNAcentral